RNAcentral lists this ribosomal RNA (492 nucleotides) under uncultured bacterium. RNAcentral's name for it is "partial 16S ribosomal RNA". It matches the Rfam family "Bacterial small subunit ribosomal RNA", at positions 29 to 507 of the family's 1533-position model. The record is from RNAcentral.
AGUGAACGCUGGCGGUAGGCCUAACACAUGCAAGUCGAACGGCAGCACAGUAAUAGCUUGCUCUUACGGGUGGCGAGUGGCGGACGGGUGAUGUAUACAUCGGAUUCUACUUUUUCGUUGGUGCUAACGUAGGGAAACUUACGCUAAUACCGCAUAUGACCUACGUGUGAAAGCAGGCGAUCUUCGGACCUUGCGCGAUUGUAUGAGCCGGUGUCGGAUUAGCUAGUUUGCGGGGUAAAGGCCCACCAAGGCGACGAUCCGUAGCUGGUCUGAGCGGAUGAUCAGGCAGACGGGAACUGAGACAGGGUACAGACUCCGAAGGGAGGCAGCAGUGGGGAAUAUUGGACAAUGGGCGAAAGAGUGAUCCAGCGAUACUGCGGGAGGGAAGAAGGAGCUAGGGUUGGAAAACGAUGUUGGUGGGAAAGAAAAGAAGUAGGUUAAUAGGGGGCGGUUAUGACGGUACCCAAAGAAGAAGCACCGGCUAACUUCGUG